UUUGAUGAAGUUUUCGGAUGGAUUUAAAACAGCUUAGUGGCGGACGGGUGAGUAACGCGUGGGUAACCUGCCUCACACUGGGGGAUAACAGUUAGAAAUAGCUGCUAAUACCGCAUAAGCGCACGGUUCCGCAUGGAACAGUGUGAAAAACUCCGGUGGUGUGAGAUGGACCCGCGUCUGAUUAGCUAGUUGGCAGGGCAACGGCCUACCAAGGCGACGAUCAGUAGCCGACCUGAGAGGUUGAACGGCCACAUUGGAACUGAGAAACGGUCCAGACUCC
This 280-nucleotide ribosomal RNA is filed under the name uncultured Eubacteriales bacterium. Its description in RNAcentral is "uncultured Clostridiales bacterium partial 16S ribosomal RNA". It matches the Rfam family "Bacterial small subunit ribosomal RNA", at positions 62 to 339 of the family's 1533-position model. Lineage: Bacteria; Bacillati; Bacillota; Clostridia; Eubacteriales. The record is from RNAcentral.